UUAGCGAAGGGACUGUGCUGCCGCCAGAGAUGAUCCAGAAGAUCUCUCCGCCGCGGCCGCCAGAGGACACUGCGUCGAUCGACUCGUCGUCCGGGGGGGCGAGGAGCUCCAUGGCCAGGGGCUCCGUGAGGAAGAGCGAGCAAAGAAAAUCUCUCGUCCCUCCAUCUCAGCGAUCUAACAAGCUCGCUGGAGAUGCGCCGCCCAAAGCCGGAGGCUCCUCCAAGACCACUCGCAGAGCUUCCAUAAAAUAAGUUCUUCCCAGAUCCAAAGCUCGCACAGAUUUCUCAUCUACGCAAAGUCAAAGUUUCUAAAUGACAAAGCAUGCAAAAUGGUUAAACAUGCUGGCCAGGCAUUGACAAAACGGUCAACGCUCUUCCAAAGUA
Molecule: long non-coding RNA, 383 nt
Organism: Selaginella moellendorffii
Lineage: Eukaryota; Viridiplantae; Streptophyta; Lycopodiopsida; Selaginellales; Selaginellaceae
Exons: 2
Source: RefSeq, a predicted model, not a curated record